This 230-nucleotide ribosomal RNA is filed under the name uncultured fungus. RNAcentral describes it as "partial 28S ribosomal RNA". The record is from RNAcentral. Lineage: Eukaryota; Fungi.
UGUCGGAAGAUCAGGUUUCGUUUUCUGGAUGUGCACUCUGUCCUGCUGUGGUCAUCAUCUUUUUCUGCGGUGGGAGAAAGGCAUGAAUAAAUGUCUCUUCUUCUUCGGGAAAAGUGUUAUAGUCUUUUGCUUAGGCUCACCUGCAGAGACUGAGGAAAGCUCCGUUAAAGGGGACGGAUGCUGACUUAAUGGUCUUAAAUGACCCGUCUUGAAACACCGACCAAGGAGUC